RNAcentral lists this transfer RNA (75 nucleotides) under Candidatus Fibrimonadaceae bacterium. RNAcentral describes it as "tRNA-Arg". It matches the Rfam family "tRNA". From Rfam's summary of the family: Transfer RNA (tRNA) molecules are approximately 80 nucleotides in length. Their secondary structure includes four short double-helical elements and three loops (D, anti-codon, and T loops). Further hydrogen bonds mediate the characteristic L-shaped molecular structure. tRNAs have two regions of fundamental functional importance: the anti-codon, which is responsible for specific mRNA codon recognition, and the 3' end, to which the tRNAs corresponding amino acid is attached (by aminoacyl-tRNA synthetases). tRNAs cope with the degeneracy of the genetic code in two manners: having more than one tRNA (with a specific anti-codon) for a particular amino acid; and 'wobble' base-pairing, i.e. permitting non-standard base-pairing at the 3rd anti-codon position. Lineage: Bacteria; Pseudomonadati; Fibrobacterota; Fibrobacteria; Candidatus Fibrimonadales; Candidatus Fibrimonadaceae. The record is from RNAcentral.
GCCCGCAUAGCUCAGCCUGGAUAGAGCAACUGCCUUCUAAGCAGUGGGUCGCAAGUUCAAAUCUUGCUGUGGGUA